GUGGAGAGAGAUACUGUGGACUGUAUGUGACGCCCUUUUCUUUUUGUCCCUAUGAAAAAGCAUAAGUUUGAGUUUCAGUGAGCACUGACUCCUGCAGCUGUGGAGAGAGAUACUGUGGACUGUAUGUGACGCCCUUUUCUUUUUGUCCCUAUGAAAAAGCUGGUGAAUAAAUCCUCCUCAACUCGAA
Molecule: long non-coding RNA, 187 nt
Organism: Nerophis ophidion (straightnose pipefish)
Lineage: Eukaryota; Metazoa; Chordata; Actinopteri; Syngnathiformes; Syngnathidae
Exons: 2
Source: RefSeq, a predicted model, not a curated record